This is a transfer RNA of Fusarium graminearum, 100 nucleotides long. It matches the Rfam family "tRNA". Rfam says of the family: Transfer RNA (tRNA) molecules are approximately 80 nucleotides in length. Lineage: Eukaryota; Fungi; Ascomycota; Sordariomycetes; Hypocreales; Nectriaceae. The record is from Rfam.
GGGGAGCUGGCGCAACGGUAGCGCGUCAGAUUCCAGUGAGCUGUCCAACAGCUUCUUUGGGGAUUCCUGAAGGUUAUCGGUUCAAAUCCGGUGUUCCUCA